This 2787-nucleotide ribosomal RNA is filed under the name Escherichia coli. Its description in RNAcentral is "bacterial LSU rRNA". It matches the Rfam family "Bacterial large subunit ribosomal RNA". The record is from RNAcentral. Lineage: Bacteria; Pseudomonadati; Pseudomonadota; Gammaproteobacteria; Enterobacterales; Enterobacteriaceae.
AGCGUACACGGUGGAUGCCCUGGCAGUCAGAGGCGAUGAAGGACGUGCUAAUCUGCGAUAAGCGUCGGUAAGGUGAUAUGAACCGUUAUAACCGGCGAUUUCCGAAUGGGGAAACCCAGUGUGAUUCGUCACACUAUCAUUAACUGAAUCCAUAGGUUAAUGAGGCGAACCGGGGGAACUGAAACAUCUAAGUACCCCGAGGAAAAGAAAUCAACCGAGAUUCCCCCAGUAGCGGCGAGCGAACGGGGAGCAGCCCAGAGCCUGAAUCAGUGUGUGUGUUAGUGGAAGCGUCUGGAAAGGCGCGCGAUACAGGGUGACAGCCCCGUACACAAAAAUGCACAUGCUGUGAGCUCGAUGAGUAGGGCGGGACACGUGGUAUCCUGUCUGAAUAUGGGGGGACCAUCCUCCAAGGCUAAAUACUCCUGACUGACCGAUAGUGAACCAGUACCGUGAGGGAAAGGCGAAAAGAACCCCGGCGAGGGGAGUGAAAAAGAACCUGAAACCGUGUACGUACAAGCAGUGGGAGCACGCUUAGGCGUGUGACUGCGUACCUUUUGUAUAAUGGGUCAGCGACUUAUAUUCUGUAGCAAGGUUAACCGAAUAGGGGAGCCGAAGGGAAACCGAGUCUUAACUGGGCGUUAAGUUGCAGGGUAUAGACCCGAAACCCGGUGAUCUAGCCAUGGGCAGGUUGAAGGUUGGGUAACACUAACUGGAGGACCGAACCGACUAAUGUUGAAAAAUUAGCGGAUGACUUGUGGCUGGGGGUGAAAGGCCAAUCAAACCGGGAGAUAGCUGGUUCUCCCCGAAAGCUAUUUAGGUAGCGCCUCGUGAAUUCAUCUCCGGGGGUAGAGCACUGUUUCGGCAAGGGGGUCAUCCCGACUUACCAACCCGAUGCAAACUGCGAAUACCGGAGAAUGUUAUCACGGGAGACACACGGCGGGUGCUAACGUCCGUCGUGAAGAGGGAAACAACCCAGACCGCCAGCUAAGGUCCCAAAGUCAUGGUUAAGUGGGAAACGAUGUGGGAAGGCCCAGACAGCCAGGAUGUUGGCUUAGAAGCAGCCAUCAUUUAAAGAAAGCGUAAUAGCUCACUGGUCGAGUCGGCCUGCGCGGAAGAUGUAACGGGGCUAAACCAUGCACCGAAGCUGCGGCAGCGACGCUUAUGCGUUGUUGGGUAGGGGAGCGUUCUGUAAGCCUGUGAAGGUGUACUGUGAGGUAUGCUGGAGGUAUCAGAAGUGCGAAUGCUGACAUAAGUAACGAUAAAGCGGGUGAAAAGCCCGCUCGCCGGAAGACCAAGGGUUCCUGUCCAACGUUAAUCGGGGCAGGGUGAGUCGACCCCUAAGGCGAGGCCGAAAGGCGUAGUCGAUGGGAAACAGGUUAAUAUUCCUGUACUUGGUGUUACUGCGAAGGGGGGACGGAGAAGGCUAUGUUGGCCGGGCGACGGUUGUCCCGGUUUAAGCGUGUAGGCUGGUUUUCCAGGCAAAUCCGGAAAAUCAAGGCUGAGGCGUGAUGACGAGGCACUACGGUGCUGAAGCAACAAAUGCCCUGCUUCCAGGAAAAGCCUCUAAGCAUCAGGUAACAUCAAAUCGUACCCCAAACCGACACAGGUGGUCAGGUAGAGAAUACCAAGGCGCUUGAGAGAACUCGGGUGAAGGAACUAGGCAAAAUGGUGCCGUAACUUCGGGAGAAGGCACGCUGAUAUGUAGGUGAAGUCCCUUGCGGAUGGAGCUGAAAUCAGUCGAAGAUACCAGCUGGCUGCAACUGUUUAUUAAAAACACAGCACUGUGCAAACACGAAAGUGGACGUAUACGGUGUGACGCCUGCCCGGUGCCGGAAGGUUAAUUGAUGGGGUUAGCGCAAGCGAAGCUCUUGAUCGAAGCCCCGGUAAACGGCGGCCGUAACUAUAACGGUCCUAAGGUAGCGAAAUUCCUUGUCGGGUAAGUUCCGACCUGCACGAAUGGCGUAAUGAUGGCCAGGCUGUCUCCACCCGAGACUCAGUGAAAUUGAACUCGCUGUGAAGAUGCAGUGUACCCGCGGCAAGACGGAAAGACCCCGUGAACCUUUACUAUAGCUUGACACUGAACAUUGAGCCUUGAUGUGUAGGAUAGGUGGGAGGCUUUGAAGUGUGGACGCCAGUCUGCAUGGAGCCGACCUUGAAAUACCACCCUUUAAUGUUUGAUGUUCUAACGUUGACCCGUGAUCCGGGUUGCGGACAGUGUCUGGUGGGUAGUUUGACUGGGGCGGUCUCCUCCUAAAGAGUAACGGAGGAGCACGAAGGUUGGCUAAUCCUGGUCGGACAUCAGGAGGUUAGUGCAAUGGCAUAAGCCAGCUUGACUGCGAGCGUGACGGCGCGAGCAGGUGCGAAAGCAGGUCAUAGUGAUCCGGUGGUUCUGAAUGGAAGGGCCAUCGCUCAACGGAUAAAAGGUACUCCGGGGAUAACAGGCUGAUACCGCCCAAGAGUUCAUAUCGACGGCGGUGUUUGGCACCUCGAUGUCGGCUCAUCACAUCCUGGGGCUGAAGUAGGUCCCAAGGGUAUGGCUGUUCGCCAUUUAAAGUGGUACGCGAGCUGGGUUUAGAACGUCGUGAGACAGUUCGGUCCCUAUCUGCCGUGGGCGCUGGAGAACUGAGGGGGGCUGCUCCUAGUACGAGAGGACCGGAGUGGACGCAUCACUGGUGUUCGGGUUGUCAUGCCAAUGGCACUGCCCGGUAGCUAAAUGCGGAAGAGAUAAGUGCUGAAAGCAUCUAAGCACGAAACUUGCCCCGAGAUGAGUUCUCCCUGACUCCUUGA